This 254-nucleotide ribosomal RNA is filed under the name uncultured bacterium. RNAcentral describes it as "partial 16S ribosomal RNA". It matches the Rfam family "Bacterial small subunit ribosomal RNA", at positions 524 to 776 of the family's 1533-position model. The record is from RNAcentral.
UACAGAGGUCCCAAGCGUUGUUCGGAUUCACUGGGCGGUAAAGGGUGCGUAGGCGGUCGGGUAAGUCUGAUGUGAAAUCUCACAGCUUAACUGUGAAACUGCAUUGGAUACUAUCCGGCUCGAGGAAUGGAGGGGAGACUGGAAUACUUGGUGUAGCAGUGAAAUGCGUAGAUAUCAAGUGGAACACCAGUGGCGAAGGCGAGUCUCUGGACAUUUCCUGACGCUGAGGCACGAAAGCCAGGGGAGCAAACGGG